GUCUCUACGGAGCAGCAGUGAGAACUGUCCGCAUGGCGAAGCGUGACGAGCAAUACCGCGUGAGGAGGAAGGCUCUUGGGUUGUAAACCUCUUUCUCAGGGAAGAAUUCAAUGACGGUACCUGAGGAAUAAGCAUCGGCUAACUCCGUGCCAGCAGCCGCGGUAAUACGGAGGAUGCAAGCGUUAUCCGGAAUGAUUGGGCGUAAAGCGUCCGCAGGUGGCAUUGCAAGUCUGCUGUCAAAGGUCAGGGCUUAACCCUGAAAAGGCAGUGGAAACUGAAAUGCUGGAGUGCGGUAGGGGUAGAGGGAAUUCCCGGUGUAGCGGUGAAAUGCGUAGAGAUCGGGAAGAACACCAGUGGCGAAGGCGCUCUACUAGGCCGCAACUGACACUCAUGGACGAAAGCUAGGGGAGCGAAUGGGAUUAGAUACCCCAGUAGUCCUAGCUGUAAACGAUGGAUAGCUAGGCGUUGAGAGUAUCGACCCUCUCAGUGUCGUAGCUAACGCGUAAGUAGCCGCAUGGGAUACG
This 524-nucleotide ribosomal RNA is filed under the name uncultured cyanobacterium. RNAcentral's name for it is "bacterial SSU rRNA". It matches the Rfam family "Bacterial small subunit ribosomal RNA", at positions 335 to 884 of the family's 1533-position model. The record is from RNAcentral. RNAcentral also lists the same sequence under 1 other name. Lineage: Bacteria; Bacillati; Cyanobacteriota.